CUCUUGACAGACUGCCCAGAUCAACUGGGAGGAAGGUGGGGACGACGUCAAGUCAGUAUGGCCCUUACGCCCUGGGCUGCACACGUACUACAAUGCCCAGUAUAAUGAGAACCGAGACCGCAAGGUGGAGGAAACCUACAAAACUGGGCCCAGUUCGGAUUGGGGGCUGCAACUCGCCCCCAUGAAGUCGGAAUCGCUAGUAAUGGCGCAUCAGCAACGGCGCCGUGAAUACGUUCCCGGGUCUU
RNAcentral lists this ribosomal RNA (245 nucleotides) under uncultured bacterium. RNAcentral's name for it is "partial 16S ribosomal RNA". It matches the Rfam family "Bacterial small subunit ribosomal RNA", at positions 1138 to 1382 of the family's 1533-position model. The record is from RNAcentral.